This 434-nucleotide ribosomal RNA is filed under the name uncultured bacterium. RNAcentral describes it as "partial 16S ribosomal RNA". It matches the Rfam family "Bacterial small subunit ribosomal RNA", at positions 29 to 507 of the family's 1533-position model. The record is from RNAcentral.
AGCGAACGCUGGCGGCAGGCCUAACACAUGCAAGUCGAACGAACCUUUCGGGGUUAGUGGCGGACGGGUGAGUAACACGUGGGAACGUGCCUUUAGGUUCGGAAUAACUCAGGGAAACUUGUGCUAAUACCGAAUGUGCCCUUCGGGGGAAAGAUUUAUCGCCUUUAGAGCGGCCCGCGUCUGAUUAGCUAGUUGGUUGAGGUAAUGGCUCACCAAGGCGACGAUCAGUAGCUGGUCUGAGAGGAUGAUCAGCCACAUUGGGACUGAGACACGGCCCAAACUCCUACGGGAGGCAGCCGUGGGGAAUCUUGCGCAAUGGGCGAAAGCCUGACGCAGCCAUGCCGCGUGAAUGAUGAAGGUCUUAGGAUUGUAAAAUUCUUUCACCGGGGACGAUAAUGACGGUACCCGGAGAAGAAGCCCCGGCUAACUUCGUG